CCUACGGGUGGCAGCAGUGAGGAAUAUUGGUCAAUGGGCGUAAGCCUGAACCAGCCAAGUCGCGUGAGGGAUGAAGGUUCUAUGGAUCGUAAACCUCUUUUAUAAGGGAAUACAGUGUGGGACGUGUCCUAUAUUGUAUGUACCUUAUGAAUAAGGAUCGGCGAACACCGUGCCAGCAGCCGCGGUAAUACGGAGGAUCCGAGCGGUAUCCGGAUUUAUUGGGUUUAAAGGGUGCGCAGGCGGAUUUUUAAGUCAGCGGUAAAAUCGUGGGGCUCAACCCCAUACAGCCGUUGAAACUGGGGAUCUAGAGUGUGCGAGAGGUAUGCGGAAUGCGUGGUGUAGCGGUGAAAUGCAUAGAUAUCACGCAGAACCCCGAUUGCGAAGGCAGCAUACCGGUGCACAACUGACGCUGAGGCACGAAAGCGUGGGUAUCGAACAGGAUUAGAUACCCCAGUAGUC
RNAcentral lists this ribosomal RNA (459 nucleotides) under uncultured bacterium. Its description in RNAcentral is "partial 16S ribosomal RNA". It matches the Rfam family "Bacterial small subunit ribosomal RNA", at positions 338 to 795 of the family's 1533-position model. The record is from RNAcentral.